GGACCCCCUUCUCACUCGCGGUGCACGUGUCGCCGGCGUCCGAGCUACGUCGCGAGGUGCUGGUGCUACUCCGUGGCCGGCCAUCCUCCACGCCGACCGAUCCCGCUAGGGUGUACUGUCAGUGCAUUCAGCGGCCUGACCUCCGCGCAGAAUUGACAGAGCUUGCAAAUGGUCAUGGAGGCAGCUCUUGUGGGUGUGGCGACAGGGGCCCUGAAGCCUGUCCUGGGGAAGCUGGGAACUCUGCUCGGUGAAGAGUACAGGCGGUUCAAGGGUGUGCGCAAGGAGAUCAAGUCUCUCACUCAUGAGCUUGCUGCCAUGGAGGCUUUUCUCCUCAAGAUGUCCGAGGUGGAGGAUCCUGAUGCGCAGGAUAAAGUAUGGAUGAAUGAGGUGCGGGAGCUUUCUUAUGACAUGGAGGACGCCAUCGAUGACUUCAUGCAAAGUGUUGAUGACGAAGACGAAAAGCCAGAUGGCUUCAUUGAGAAGAUCAAAAACUCAUUGGGGAAAUUGGGGAAGUUGAACUUCCGCCGUCGGAGUGGCAGAGAUAUCCAAGAUCUGAAGAAACAAAUCAUUGAGGUGGGUGACAGGAAUGCAAGAUACAGGACUGGUGUGGCUGUAUCCAACUCCAAGAAUGCAACCGUUGACCCUCGAGCUCUUGCUAUCUUUGAGCAUGCCUCAAAAUUGGUGGGAAUCGAUGAACCUAAGGCUGAGAUAAUCGAACUGUUGACUCAAGAGGAUGGACGCACUUCUGCAGAAGAGCCAUUGAAGGUAGUCUCCAUUGUUGGAUCCGGAGGAACAGGCAAGACAACUCUUGCAUACCAAGUGUACCAAGACCUCAAAGGGAAAUUCGACUGUUCGGCCUUCCUAUCCGUGUCGCGAAAUCCAGACAUGAUACAUAUCAUGAGAACUAUUCAUAGUCAAGUUAGCCAUCAAGAAUAUUCUAAAACGGAAGCAGCAAAUGUACAACAAGUUAUCAUCAAUAUCAGCAAUUUUCUAGCUGACAAAAGGUACUUUGUUGUUGUUGAUGAUAUAUGGGACUUCGACACAUGGGAUAUUAUUAAGUGUGCAUUCCCCACUACAAGUUAUAGUAAUAGAAUAAUCACCACUACUCGUUUGAACAAUGUCGCUCAUUCAUGCUGUUCAACAUUUAGUGGUCAUAUUUAUUAUAUAAGGCCUCUUGAUAUGGUGCACUCAAGGCAAUUAUUUCAUAGAAGAUUAUUCAAGCCUGAUGAAAAUUGUCCUUCAUACCUUCAAGAAGUUUCAGAGCAGAUAUUGAAAAAAUGCCACGGGUUACCUUUGGCGAUAGUUGCUAUAUCUGGUUUAUUGGCUAACACAAGAAGAGAAGAAAAUAUGUGGAAUCAAGUGAAAGAUUCAAUUGGUCGUGCACUUGAAAGAAAUCCUAGCAUUGAAGGAAUGAUGAAGAUAUUGUCACUUAGUUACUUUGAUCUGCCUCCUUAUCUAAAAACUUGUCUCUUAUAUCUGAGCAUAUAUCUAGAAGAUUCUACUAUUGGGAAGGAGGGACUGAUAAAAAGAUGGAUUGCUGAAGGAUUUAUUCAUAGAGAAGGCAGAUACACAACAUAUGAGUUAGGAGAAAUGUGCUUUAAUGAGCUCCUGAAUAGGGGUUUGAUCCAACCUGUGGAGACGAAUGAAUAUGACAAGGUGGAGAGUUGUCGAGUUCAUGACACAAUUCUUGAUUUCAUCAUAUCCAAGUCUAUAGAAGAGAACUUCGUCACUUUACUUGGUGAUCCUGUUCUAACAAUUAAGAACCAAAGCAAAGUUGUUCGUCGACUCUGUCUCCAAGGUGCCAAGGAAGGAAAUUCAACAGUACUAACAACAGGUUUCGUGUUGUCCCAUGUCCGAUCACUUAUUGUGGUCAGAGGUGCUGUGGAAAUCCCUUCUUUGGCAGAGUUCAGACAUCUGCGUGUUCUCGACUUGAGUGACCAAUCACUGAAAGAACAACAUCUUGAAAACAUAGUGAAGUUGUUCCAGCUGAGGUACUUGAACCUUGAAAGUACAAUAAUAAGCAAGCUCCCAGAACAAAUCGGGCGUUUGGGGUUCUUACAGAUGCUGGACCUAAGUGACACUUGUGUAGAAGAGUUACCCACGUCUAUUAUUAAUCUUGGAAAAUUGUCCCAUCUACUUGUUGAUAAUUAUGUGAAAUUUCCUGAUGGGAUUGCAAAGAUGCAAGCACUGGAGACGUUGGAAGAUGUGAGGGUCUCCAUUCAGCCGUUUGACUUCCUAUGGGGCCUUGGUCAACUAAAGAAUUUGAGAAAUCUGCAGCUUGACCUUCGUUUUGAAGUUGAUUCUGACACUGAGGAUACAUAUGUGGCUGAAGAGGAGUGCAACAAAGCUAUCUUCUCUUCCCUGUGUAAGCUAGGCACCCAGAACCUCCGGUCCCUGACUAUUUAUGGAGGGAGCAGCCUCUUACAGGAACCUUUGUGCCUACCGACCCUCGUGAAACUUAUUACCCGGUCUUCAGCCAUUCCACAGGUUCCGACAUGGGUGAGCUCCCUCAUAAACCUCCAGCUGCUACGCCUUACAGUGAAGGGGAUCAAGAAAAGUGAUCUCUGCAUCCUUGGAGCCUUACCUGCUCUGCUCAUUUUGCAUCUGGAGGAAGUAACACGGUCAAACGAAAAGAUAAGAAUCAGUGGCGAAGUUGGGUUCCAAUGUUUGAGAAUUUUCAUUUAUGAUGCACAUUAUAAACCAGUUGAUCUGAUGUUUGGAGCAGGGUCCAUGCCCAAGCUAGAAAAACUCGUGCUUAAGAGUUUGUAUGAGGUUGAAGCUGACAGUCUGGACUUUGGAAUAGAGAACCUCCCGAGCCUCACAACUGUCAAAUGUGAAGUACUUGGCAGUGAUGGCAUUGUUGGAGCCGUAAAGACUGCGAUGAAGAGAGCAGCCAACACACAUCCCAACCGCCCUACUAUAGUCACAUAAUAAGCACGGUUCCCGCCGGUUUCUACCAUGAUUGAACAGGCCAAGAAAUAGGAAUUGGGGAGCUUGCCAUACGGUCUGCUGAUUCCCAAGGUUACUCUCCGGAUGAUUAUUUUGGCCGCCUGUCUAAUGUUGGAAACGAGACUCUGUUUCCUGAAUGAGCCGCAUAUGAAGAUGGUGGCGUUGGGCCUCCGAAUCGCUACAAGCUGUCGUUGAUGCUCGCCAAGGAAAAUCCUGAACUCAGCGACGAGUUAAUAAUGCAUCAGGCCAGACCUCUGCUUUUAGCCUCAUUGCCCCGUCAUAUUUAUGUAGUUGAAUGUUGUGAAUCUCUAGUUCUAGAUCAUCCAGGCUGUCUUUGAAAACUGUAUGUCGUCUCUCCCAGUAGCAGCAAACAUUUUGCAGUUCGGAGUUGUUAGAACUUCAGUUGCCCUUUAGACAUGUGAAAGGAGCAACCUUUGCAACAAAUUUGACUUGAAAAAAAAAUGCAGUCUCCUGACAGAGUUGCUGCUCCUGCUCACGCACCCCCUUCGUCUUCGUCUUGGUUGGGUAAUGCCAUGCGUUUCUAGCUUAAGCUGUAGUUUUCUUGACGGGAAACUCGUUUGAGAUGUACUCCAUCAUCAGGCUGUCUUGAAUUUCUGUUUCCUGGCCUCAUGUACACAUCUGUCUCUCUGUCUAUCUCUGCAGCUCAAAGGUUCAGCCCUGCUCCGCCCUGCAACUGUUCCUAUCUCUGCUACUAUUUCCAAAUGGGAAAAGCUAAUUAAGAUGCGAACUGUAACACUUGUAUGUUAUUUUCCUCCUCCUUUUUGCAGCGAUACGUCUGGGUGAUGUUGGCAAGGACACAAUCUCUGUUUCCUGGAUGAAGAUGGCGCUGAUGGAUUCAGACCCAUCCUGAACCCAGUGAGUGCAGCGCCAGCACUCGGUCUCUUGGGGAGACUCUGAUGCAUUUGUACCAAAGUUCUGCAGAUGAUUCAGUAGCAGAUUUGGUGCUUCGGUGUCCCUGCUGACAAUGGACACAAGAAAUUCUCUUGUUGAAUGGGGUCAAGACUCAAGAGGGGCUGCUGCACUGCAUGUUGGUGCUGGACACUGCAUAACUGGGGCCUCUAGAAGUAUAUCACCAGGCCAAAAACAGGAACAUCACCAAACAUGAGAAUUGUGGCUCCUCAUCCGGUUUUUCUGAAAACAAGUUUCAGAGUUUUCAGCUACACGCUUUUCAGUUGACUUGCCGUUUCUGCAUGUUUUCACGAGGAGUGGUACAGGAGGGGAUCAACUAUGCCUUGCCCUGCUAUGCAGUGAUACAUCUUGGUGAUGUUUGAAAAUGGACGAAGAUGGCGCCGAUGGAUUUGGGCAUCGAAACCGCCACCAGAUGUCCUCGGAGAUCGCCAAGGUGUUGUGCGUCGAAAUCGCCACAACCUGUCCUGGAAGAUCGUCGAGGAUGAGUAGGCAGUUAAUGCGUCGCCAGAUCUCUCCCAAUGACAAUUUUACCCUGAUUAAUUUGGAAGUAGAAGCCAAGAACAUGAGAGUUGCUGGUUGCUGCUCCUGCUCCUUUUACAUACAUGCACCAAUAUAUGCAUCUUCUCGUUUUCUCAACAAUUUGGCUGAAGUUAUGCUUGGUCUUUUACAGUUACGUAUAUGUUUGCUAUAUGACUAUAUAUCACUGUUAAAAAUUCAGACACUCUCUCUCCGUGAAGAUGACGCUGCUGGUUUUGGAAAUAGCUAACAAUCAUUAGGAGCUGUACUCCAAAAACUCACAAUAAGUACCACCCUGAACUUGGUGAAGGGCGAGUAAUCAUUCUGUACACAUGAUGAAGUAAUGCAGUGCGCCAGGUUUCGAUUUUA
This is an RNA transcript of Triticum dicoccoides, 4764 nucleotides long. It is a transcript of the gene named disease resistance protein RGA5-like, with no coding region annotated. The transcript is spliced from 5 exons. The record is from RefSeq and is a predicted model, not a curated record. NCBI's taxonomy places the organism in Eukaryota, Viridiplantae, Streptophyta, Magnoliopsida, Poales, Poaceae.